UCUUGUGAUAUUUCUUUUGUGAGCCUAGAUCUUUAGAGGCAGGUGUGCACUUUUUCUGUUGUAAUAUCUUUCCAUCACACCAGGAUGCAGCCUGAAUCAGUGAUAAAACCCUAAAUUAUUUAUUCUGACAGCAAACGUAUGCUACUGCCAGGUAUACAGGUUAGGGGAGUACAGGUUAUAAUUACUCAAUAGAUUCUACUUUUCUUUACAAAGCCUCAGAAGAAAUUAAGGUUAAGGUUUUUUUUAAUAACUCUUUCUGUCCUGAAAUGAAUCAAGACAACAGAAAAUUGAGAAGUGUAUGAGUUCUUGGCGUGACAUUGCAGUGCAUUCUGGACAUCUUUCACAAGAAGUGAACUCAAUUAUGACCAACUAAUUGUUCAAGCAAACAGCAAAUGAUCUUUCUACUUUCCCUUUAGACUUUCUUUCUGUCUAAAAUGACAGCUGCAUCAUUCUUUUAGAAAGCUGAUAAACAUACACAUUAAUAGUAAAAGCUUUCCCAGUUAUUCAGACAUUCUUUGAAUGCUUAUAAAUUUCUAGUGGGCAGGAGUCAAGUGGACAUGACUAUGCUAUUGCCAUGUGACAGUACAAGGGGCAAGGGACACAAACACAAGGAACACAGGAAGUUUCAUGCAAGUAUGAGGAAAAACUUCUAUACUUUAGAGCUGAGAGAACACUGGAACAAGAUGCACAGUGUGUCAGCCAUAGAUCUUGAAACACAGAAGACCAGUGUACCUUACACACCCUCAAAAGUAAAAGACAGUACUAAGGGCAAAGCAGUCUCACAGUAUUCCGUACUUCUGUUGUACAGAGAAGGAAUUCAGGAUUUAUUUGACUGUAUCAAUUCCAUGUUCUUCAGGGCACUGAAAUCAUAUGUAGGCUGUCAUCAUUGUUUCUGUGAUUUGUUCAACAACAGGUUAUUUUGUACUCUCACCUGUUCCUAGUACAGAUGUAAUUCUUUACAUAUAAUUAAACACUCUUUGGGGAUUUAAGACUUAAAAUGGAAUCAUCCAAAACAGAGUGAGUAAUUAAAUUGCUUAAUAAAAGCUUUUUAUUUUGCACAUAAUUCCUAUUCUUUAAAAAGAAAAAAUAGUUUACCAAAAAGAGAGCUUGAGGGACUUCUUUCAGGAAACACUUCAUGACUCUGAUAGUUAAGGUACUUUUAUACCCCCAAGAGCAUUUUAAUCAUUGGCUUUUUAAAUAAGAAGGCUUAAAGUUAGACUUCUUACCUGCUUGCAUAAUCCUUGACUACUGAUUGCUGUAUUGUACAGCAGGGUUUUUUUCUGCUCAUAGCAUAAGACCUCAUCAGCAGAAGAUAACUAUCAACAUUGCAAAAUAGCUGUAGCCAAAAUACUUGUAUUCUCUCUUUUUUUUUUUAUUAAAAAGGUGUUGGCAGAAAAUGUCUGACUAGGUCUAGUAUUUAAACUGUGUAUUUCUGAAGUGAAAACACUAAAGCGUGUUACAGACUUGUAACAUUUGUACAUUUAGCAAACUUAGAGAAGAAAACAGCCAUUGAUCUGUGCUUGUUUAAAUAAACAUUGGCUAGAUAU
Meleagris gallopavo (turkey) is the source of this 1547-nucleotide non-coding RNA. Lineage: Eukaryota; Metazoa; Chordata; Aves; Galliformes; Phasianidae. The record is from RefSeq and is a predicted model, not a curated record.